This is a long non-coding RNA of Felis catus (domestic cat), 1780 nucleotides long. RefSeq lists it as uncharacterized. The record is from RefSeq and is a predicted model, not a curated record. The transcript is spliced from 3 exons. Lineage: Eukaryota; Metazoa; Chordata; Mammalia; Carnivora; Felidae.
AGCCUGGGACAUGGAGAUGUGGUGCAGGCUGAGCCCUGCCCGGGCUGCUCACCCCUUCUGCCCAGGAGGACCAGGGUUCUAGAACCCUCCCAGGGUGCUGUGUGCCUGAAGGUUGGGGCGACGAGCCUGCGGUCCUGCUGCUCUGCUGUGUGUGGCUCUGCCCCCUUUAAAUGAAUGUGAAAGCUCGGGGGGAGGGCACCUGCUGGGACCCGAGGGGGCAGCAAGGAAGUACCUUUGGGGGCCAUUCUCUGUGCCCAGACGGCAGGCUCACUGGGCUGGGCUAAUGAGCCUGGAGGUCCUCAAGGUCAAAUGAAACAAAUGGGCAUCUGCUUGGAGGUGAGUCAUGCCCCUUGUUCUACCCCAGCAGGCUUCUGUGCCAGGGAGACCAGGAGUCCCCAAGGGGGGUAUUUGAAGGGCAUUUGGGUAGCUUGUUGGUCACAUAUUUGUCCUGUAUCUUUGGGCUUGUCCUGGUAUCCACAGUCUCACCCUGAACUGAAGCUGGAUCAGCCUCUAGACCUCGGCUGCCUCCCACUUCUUGCCUGGGGAUUCUGCUUCUGAAGUUCCUUGGUAUCUAUGACCUUGUCCCUUGGAGGACUGCAUGGUUUUCUCAGCUUUUUUCCUUGGAUGCUGCUCAGUUUAGGAAGGCUGUUUGGUGUAGUGGUUAAAUCUACUGAAGCGCUGGGUUUGAAUCCCGGCCAUGCCACUUACUGGCUGGACAACUCACUUAAUCUCUCUGUGUCUGUUUCUUGUAAAAUGGAUACAGUAACAAUACUGACCUUAGAGGGUUGUUCCCAAGAUGACAAAAUGCAUGUAAGAUGUUCAGGUGGUACUUGGCAUAAAGUAAGCUAUUAUUUUUUCGGUUUCAUUCAGCUUCCUGAUAUCGGGUUGGUCACUAUACCCCUGGGGAGACCUGUCUCCCUUAAAAGUAACUUGGAGUUUGGGCAUUCUGGAAAACGGGAGCUGUCGUUGUUGGUGGGAGUACUGCAGGCUGGCCCUGCGGAGCAGACCUGAGACACAGUGUCCUUCCAAAUUUGGUGGCCUUUCCUUGGUGGGGAGGAGAAAAGCAGCUGGCCUCCAGACUCGGCACCUUGCUGUGCCACCACCGCUGUGUGCCCUCAGCUGGCAACUGAGGAUGCAGAGAGCUUAACUACCUGAUGCAAGGGCGCGCGUCUCAUCGGUGGCAGAGCUGGCACUGGACACGUGGGCCGCUGCUCUGAAGCACAUGGCUUGGCAAGUUGCCAUUGACAGUCCUCCUUGUUGUCACACCACGAGAGGCUGGUCUCCCACCCCCAAAUCCUCAGAAUUACCCAGGCACUCAAACUAUCUCCAUGCCUGGGCCCACCCCAGACCCACUAAAGCAGCCUUUCUGGGACGUGGGCACCAGUAUGUUGCAGGCUUUGCAGGUGAUUGCUGUGCCUUGCCACGUUUGAGAAGCCUUGCUCUUCUAGUCCACCCCUCACAGAUCACUUUCCUCCCCGUGUGGUCUUCACUGCCCUGUCCAGUCCUCUCUCUCCUGGUAGAUCAGAGGAGCCUUCCUCUCCAGGGGCUUUCACCUCUGUCCCAUACCCCUGACUGCUUCCCCGGGCUAGGACGCCCUGCCCACCAGGGGUCCCACACCCUCAUCCCCGGGUUGCACCCCUCUUCCUUGCCUUGAUACCCGUUCCUCUCUCUGGGUCAGAUCCCUUCCACCCCCAUUACACCUCCCACCACCACCGUCUUUCCAGGUGUUGUUAUGGGUUCCUACUUGGAAGAAUAAAGGCCAGAUGCCCAUUAUGCAGAA